Molecule: ribosomal RNA, 253 nt
Filed under: uncultured bacterium
Lineage: Bacteria
Description: partial 16S ribosomal RNA
Rfam family: Bacterial small subunit ribosomal RNA
Source: RNAcentral
UACGGAGGGUGCAAGCAUUAAUCGGAUUUAUUGGGCGUAAAGGGCGCGUAGGCGGAAAGAAAAGUCAGAUGUGAAAUCCCGGGGCUUAACCUCGGACCCGCAUUUGAAACUUUCUUUCUAGAGGGUAGGCGGAGAAAACGGAAUUCCACGUGUAGCGGUGAAAUGCGUAGAUAUGUGGAAGAACAUCUGUGGCGAAGGCGGUUUUCUAGCUUACUCCUGACGCUGAGGCGCGAAAGCAAGGGGAUCAAACAGG